CAUAACUUCUCCUCUGAGAGUGAGCUCCUCUCCCUCACCAUCACAGCCUCUCCUCUGCCAGCCUUCAUCAUCAGACACGUUGUAGUGCUGCUGAUCCUACUGACAGCCAUCACCACCUUAUACCUGUACUACAAGCCCACCAGGAGGCAGAAGAGAGUGAACAGGGUGAGCAGCAUGGAUCUUUAUGCCAAUGC
Non-coding RNA from Salmo salar (Atlantic salmon), 194 nucleotides. Lineage: Eukaryota; Metazoa; Chordata; Actinopteri; Salmoniformes; Salmonidae. The record is from RefSeq and is a predicted model, not a curated record.